UUACAAACCUUACCGAAAGCAAUUGGAGGGCAAGUCUGGUGCCAGCAGCCGCGGUAAUUCCAACUCCAAAAGCGUAUAUUAAAGUUGUUGCAGUUAAAAAGCUCGUAGUUGAAGUUCUGGCUGUAUUGGGCCUUAGCACUUGAUGCGGAGGAACCAGCAGUCAUCCGCUUGCAAAUACAUGUCCUUCCUUAACCGGUAGGCUGUAUAAGUAAGCACUUUACCUUGAGAAAAACAGAGUGUUCCAGGCAGGUUUGUCCGGAAUGCGUUAGCAUGGAAUAAUAGAAUAUGACUGAAGUCGAUUUAUUGGUUUAAGGCUUUAGUAAUGAUUAAUAGGAACAAUCGGGGGCAUUGGUACUUGUCAGUCAGAGGUGAAAUUCUAGGAUUUGACAAAGACUAACUGAUGCGAAAGCGUUUGCCAAGAAUGUUUUCAUUAAUCAAGAACAAAAGUUAGGGGAUCAAAGACGAUCAGAUACCGUCCUAGUCCUAACUAUAAACUAUACCGACUCGGAUUCAGAUGAAUUUUAAAGUUCAUUUGGGACCGUAGGAGAAAUCAAAGUCUUUGGGUUCUGGGGGGAGUAUGGUCGCAAGGCUGAAACUUAAAGGAAUUGACGGUUUUGCACCACCAUGGAGUGGAGCCUGCGGCUUAAUUUGACCCAACACUGGGAAACUCAUCAGGGCAAGAAGAUUUUAGGAUUGACAGAUUGAGAGUUCUUUCUUGAUUGGUCUAGUGGUGGUGCAUGGCCGUUCUUAGUUGGUGGAGUGAUUUGUCUGGUUAAUUCCGUUAACGAACGAGACCUUAACCUGCUAACUAGUACUUUGAUUUUCAAUCGGAGUUACUUCUUAGAGGGACUAUGUGAGUAAUCACAUGGAAGUUUGAGGCAAUAACAGGUCUGUGAUGCCCUUAGAUGUCCUGAGCUGCACGCGCGCUACAAUGACACAUUCAGCGAGUAUUUCCUGACCCGAAAGGGCUCGGGUAAUCUUUUCAGUGUGUGUCGUGAUAGGGAUAGAUCUUUGUAAUUAUGGAUCUUGAACGAGGAAUUCCUAGUAAGCGCACGUCAUCAGCGUGUGCUGAUUACGUCCCUGCAAAAUGUACACACCGCCCGUCGCUAUUACCGAUUGGGUGUAUAGGUGAACCUUCUCGAUAGCCGCAAGGCUAGAAAUUAAGUAAACCUUUGCACCUAGAGGAAAUAAAAGUCGUAACAAGGUU
Molecule: ribosomal RNA, 1207 nt
Filed under: metagenome
Description: SSU rRNA
Rfam family: Eukaryotic small subunit ribosomal RNA
Source: RNAcentral